UGAAGUCUAGUGUGGUUUUAGUGGGUCAUGCUCUGAUAGAUGUAACAUCGGGACGGGAUGUUUUAAUUGUUGAAUAAAUGUUAAUUUUAAGAUAUUACAGAUGUUGAAUGUUUCUAUCCGCUGUGAAUUUUUAAAGAAGUGUUUAUGUUGAAUUAAAUAAUGAGCAUGACUGAUUUUAUGGUGAAUUUUGUGAAGAAGUUGUUAUGUGACACCCUUGAGUUGCAAUAUUUACUCUGAUAUG
RNAcentral lists this long non-coding RNA (241 nucleotides) under Lathyrus oleraceus (garden pea). Its description in RNAcentral is "Pisum sativum (pea) long non-coding RNA (PSAT_LNC012195)". Lineage: Eukaryota; Viridiplantae; Streptophyta; Magnoliopsida; Fabales; Fabaceae. The record is from RNAcentral.